CGGACGGGUGAGUAACACGUGGAUAACCUACCUAUAAGACUGGGAUAACUUCGGGAAACCGGAGCUAAUACCGGAUAAUAUAUUGAACCGCAUGGUUCAAUGUGAAAGACGGUUUUGCUGUCACUUAUAGAUGGAUCCGCGCCGCAUUAGCUAGUUGGUAAGGUAACGGCUUACCAAGGCAACGAUGCGUAGCCGACCUGAGAGGGUGAUCGGCCACACUGGAACUGAGACACGGUCCAGACUCCUACGGGAGGCAGCAGUG
This 262-nucleotide ribosomal RNA is filed under the name uncultured Staphylococcus sp. RNAcentral describes it as "partial 16S ribosomal RNA". It matches the Rfam family "Bacterial small subunit ribosomal RNA", at positions 99 to 356 of the family's 1533-position model. Lineage: Bacteria; Bacillati; Bacillota; Bacilli; Caryophanales; Staphylococcaceae. The record is from RNAcentral.